AGUCCCCCCGCCCAGAAGUGGGGAAGUCACGCGCCUGUAGCUGGAGGCUGUUGUGAAAUGGGGAAUUUGGGGGUGGGGGAGUUUGCGGGAUACAAGGGUCCGGGGGCCGAUUCUGGGAAGUCAUGGAAUUCUGGGGGUCUCUCUGUGUGCCAGAUCCCGGCUAGUGUCUGGGAGGCAGAGCUGGCUCAAAGCAGGACGCUACCCUUCACGGAACUCCCCGUUGUUACGGGGGGAAAAGAGAUACAAAGGCUCAAGCCUGGUCCUCUCCCUUGGACCCUCUUGUCCCGGACUUCUCAGCCUUCUGACUUCCAGCAGUUUCACCACAGGACUCCAGAGCCUUCUACUCCCCCAGGACUCCCAGUGUCUGCUCCCCCAUUCACCUAAGAUGGUGAGCGACGCCGUGAGCACUCCGGCCACAAAGAUGGUCACAGUCUGCCACGUGGGUGUCCCAAAGUAGGAGAGAAGGCCAUCCUGGGGACAGGAACAGUUACUUCAGCAACUUGACCAAGGGGCAGCCCCUAGGCUGGCAC
Molecule: long non-coding RNA, 530 nt
Organism: Manis pentadactyla (Chinese pangolin)
Lineage: Eukaryota; Metazoa; Chordata; Mammalia; Pholidota; Manidae
Exons: 4
Source: RefSeq, a predicted model, not a curated record